Non-coding RNA from Camellia sinensis, 257 nucleotides. NCBI's taxonomy places the organism in Eukaryota, Viridiplantae, Streptophyta, Magnoliopsida, Ericales, Theaceae. The record is from RefSeq and is a predicted model, not a curated record.
UAUCAUGAAAACAUAUGGUCUAAUUUAACUACUAGUUUUCAAUGGUUGAUGCUUGGUUUACUUUGAUCAGGAAUAUUACUUUUGAAGAUCUGGAGGAUGAGGGCAUCCUGCAAAGGGCUUGGGAAGGUCUUAUUCCAAACCGUAUUUUGAUUUAUUACUUAGAACAUGAGAUUGAUGAUGAAAUUAGAACUCCAAGUAGAAACCACAUAAAGUUCCCAGAUGAUGGACAAAAUAAGGAAAGACAAGCAUUAGAGCUA